CCUACGGAGGGCAGCAGUAGGGAAUUUUCGGCAAUGGGGGGAACCCUGACCGAGCAACGCCGCGUGAUGGAAGAAGGACUUCGUUCUGUAAACUUCUGUUAUCAAGGAAGAAAGACGGAUGUAGGAAAUGACAUCCGAGUGACGGUACCUUAUGAGAAAGCCACGGCUAACUACGUGCCAGCAGCCGCGGUAAUACGUAGGUGGCAAGCGUUAUACGGAAUUAUUGGGCGUAAAGCGGGAGCAGGCGGCAGCAAAGGUCAGUGGUUAAAGACUGAAGCUAACAUGCAGUAAGCCAUAGAAACCGGGCAGCUAGAGUGCAGGAGAGGAUCGUGGAAUUCCAUGUGUAGAGGUGAAAUGCGUAGAUAUAUGGAGGAACACCAGUGGCGAAGGCGACGAUCUGGCCUGCAACUGACGCUCAGUCCCGAAAGCGUGGGGAGCAAAUAGGAUUAGAUACCCUUGUAGUC
Molecule: ribosomal RNA, 464 nt
Filed under: uncultured bacterium
Lineage: Bacteria
Description: partial 16S ribosomal RNA
Rfam family: Bacterial small subunit ribosomal RNA
Source: RNAcentral